This is a long non-coding RNA of Maniola jurtina (meadow brown), 97 nucleotides long. RefSeq lists it as uncharacterized. The record is from RefSeq and is a predicted model, not a curated record. The transcript is spliced from 3 exons. NCBI's taxonomy places the organism in Eukaryota, Metazoa, Arthropoda, Insecta, Lepidoptera, Nymphalidae.
CUUGUACAAUAAAAUACCACUCUUCCUCGUAAUGUGCCCAAAGAACUCGAGGAUUUGCAACUGUACAAGCUACGUAAGUCUUUGAUUUCUUUUCAAU